AUGGGCGGGGUGUUGAGCGCGCUGUUGGGCGGCCACCGGCGGAGAGCGGCCGAGGCGAGGAGGAUGACGAUGUCGAGGAGCGGUGAGCCGUCGGGACACGGCCGUGGCGGAGGCGGCGAGCAGCGGCGGAGGGCGAUGCUGUCCAAGAAGUACUCGUACAUACCGGACACCUUCACCUCCCUCGACCAGGUGGCUUCGGCGCUGCGAGAUCAGGGCCUCGAGUCGUCCAACCUCAUCCUCGGGGUGGACUUCACCAAGAGCAACGAAUGGACGGGGAAGCGGUCGUUCAACGGGCAGAGCCUGCACAAGCUGGGCGACGCGCCCAACCCUUACGAGGCGGCCAUCAGCAUCAUCGGCAAGACGCUCGCCCCCUUCGACGAGGACAACCUCAUCCCCUGCUUCGGCUUCGGCGACGCGACCACGCACGACUACAACGUCUUCAGCUUCCACCCCGACAACUCGCCGUGCCACGGCUUCGAGGAGGUCCUGGCAUGCUACCGGAACGUCGUGCCGCACCUCAGGCUAUCAGGGCCGACGUCCUUCGCACCGAUCGUGGAAGCCGCCGUCGACAUCGUGGACAGGACCGGAGGCCAGUACCAUGUCCUCGUCAUCGUCGCCGACGGCCAGGUCACUAGGAGUGUUGAUACAAGUGAGGGCGAUCUAAGCCCGCAGGAGCGAAGAACCGUCGACUCCAUUGUCAUGGCCAGUUCGUAUCCCUUGUCCAUCGUGCUGGUCGGGGUCGGGGAUGGCCCAUGGGAGGACAUGCAGAAGUUCGACGACAAGCUCCCCGCGCGCGCCUUCGACAACUUCCAGUUUGUCAACUUCACGUCCAUCAUGUCGAGGAACGCGACGCUGCAGCAGAAGGAGUCGGCGUUCGCGCUGGCGGCGCUCAUGGAGGUGCCCAUCCAGUACAAGGCCACCAUGGAGCUCGGCAUCCUAGGCCGGUCCACGGGGAAGGCCAAGAGGGUCGUCCCGGCCCCGCCCCCGCUGCCGGCGUCGUCGUCGUUGAGGCGGGAAGCUAGCAGCGCGAACGCCGCCGCGGCGGAGCCAAGAGAGGAUCAGGUGUGCCCAAUCUGCUUGACCAAUGCCAAAGAUCUAGCGUUUGGCUGCGGCCACAUGUGUUGCAGGGAGUGUGGGGAGAACCUCGACAGAUGCCCGAUAUGCCGAGAGACAAUACGCUCCAAGCUGAGGCUGUACACGGGAUGA
Molecule: ribosomal RNA, 1206 nt
Filed under: Triticum aestivum (bread wheat)
Lineage: Eukaryota; Viridiplantae; Streptophyta; Magnoliopsida; Poales; Poaceae
Description: partial small subunit ribosomal RNA
Source: RNAcentral